This 251-nucleotide ribosomal RNA is filed under the name uncultured bacterium. Its description in RNAcentral is "partial 16S ribosomal RNA". It matches the Rfam family "Bacterial small subunit ribosomal RNA", at positions 103 to 354 of the family's 1533-position model. The record is from RNAcentral.
CGGGUGAGUAACGCGUGGGCAACCUGCCUUACACAGGGGGAUAACACUUAGAAAUAGGUGCUAAUACCGCAUAAGCGCACAGCCUUGCAUGAAGCAGUGUGAAAAACUCCGGUGGUGUAAGAUGGACCCGCGUCUGAUUAGCUGGUUGGCAGGGUAAAGGCCUACCAAGGCGACGAUCAGUAGCCGGCCUGAGAGGGUGAACGGCCACAUUGGGACUGAGACACGGCCCAGACUCCUACGGAAGGCAGCAG